Molecule: ribosomal RNA, 716 nt
Filed under: Vermiliopsis striaticeps
Lineage: Eukaryota; Metazoa; Annelida; Polychaeta; Sabellida; Serpulidae
Description: bacterial SSU rRNA
Rfam family: Eukaryotic small subunit ribosomal RNA
Source: RNAcentral
CUGCGAAUGGCUCAUUAAAUCAUAUGUGAUUUCUUAGAUCGUAACCAUUGUCUGCGGACAGUGGGUUUGGAUAACUGUGGUAAUUCUAGAGCUAAUACAUGCAAUCAAGCUCUGACCUUAGCGGGGACGAGCGCUCUUAUUAGACCAAAGCCAGCCUGUGGGGCAACCUGCAGCAUCGCUGUGGUGACUCUGGAUAAAACUAGUGGAUCGCAUGACCUUUGCGUCGGCGACGUAUCUUUCAAGCGUAUGCCCUAUCAUUUAUAGUCGAUAAGGUAAGUGCCUAUCGAGAAUGCAACGGGUAGCGAGGAAUCAGGGUUCGAUUUCGGAGAGGGGGCCUGAGAAAUGGCCGCCACAUCCAAGGAAGGCAGCAGGCGCGCAAAUUACCCAAUCCCGACACGGGGAGGUAGUGACGAAAAAUAACAAUACUAGACUCUUUCGAGGCCUGGUAAUUGGAAUGAGCACAGUUUAAAUCCUUUAGCGAGGAUCAAUUGGAGGGCAAGUCUGGUGCCAGCAGCCGCGGUAAUUCCAGCUCCAAUAGCGUAUAUUAAAGUUGCUGCAGUUAAAAAGCUCGUAGUUGGAUCUCGGGUUACGGCUUGGCGGUCCUGUUCACGCAGGUCACUGCUCGGUCGGCCCCAUAAGUGGCAGUUUCUCUUCGGGGAGGCGGCGUCUCGGGUUCCCUUAACUGGGUGCUCGAUGGCGGCCACUCUGGUUACCUU